RNAcentral lists this transfer RNA (91 nucleotides) under Gammaproteobacteria bacterium. RNAcentral's name for it is "tRNA-Ser". It matches the Rfam family "tRNA". From Rfam's summary of the family: Transfer RNA (tRNA) molecules are approximately 80 nucleotides in length. Their secondary structure includes four short double-helical elements and three loops (D, anti-codon, and T loops). The record is from RNAcentral. Lineage: Bacteria; Pseudomonadati; Pseudomonadota; Gammaproteobacteria.
GGAGAGAUGGCUGAGCGGUUGAAAGCACCGGUCUUGAAAACCGGCAAGGGUUAAUAGCCCUUCGUGGGUUCAAAUCCCACCCUCUCCGCCA